UUUGGAAGGUGGGUAGGAGUCUUUUCUUCUGGCCAGAUCACUUUGGUUCUCUAGGUGAUGAAGGGCUGAAGGCAUUUUAAGCCUUAGCUGCUGUACAAAGGUGUAACGAGAAGAGCGGCCCUCGUACCAAAGUGUUUGCAGUACACAAGAGACUUUGCAGAGCGCCUGUAUGUGGGGGGUGCCUGGCUCCUGUGGACUGUCCUUAGGAAUCAAACCUUGUCUUGAAAAAUGGCCCUUAAAUAGACACGAGGAUGAUUUGACAGCUUGGAUUCACAAUGAGGAAGUCUGCCCAAGGAUGAUCCUGUACUGACUGCAAGGUUGUGGGGUAACAGGCUGGAUCCUGUGUGUUCCUUUCCUGUCUUGGAGGACCCUUGUUAAAGGCACAACAAGAAGCUGGGUGACUGUCAGAUAUCACUUGGAAAACUUUGGAAGAUACCAGCAGGAGUCUUCAUGGCAAAAGGCAAGUGAAGACGAACCUCUUCAGAGAUUAAGCACUACUGCACAGUGUUGCAAAGGAAUAAGGACACAGGAGCAGUAGAGGUGUUGGCUCUUGGAAGUAGGGGAGGAAGAAGUGAAGUCCCGUCCAUGCAGCAGACCUUCCUGUUGCAGGAGGUUGCUGGAGCAGGAGGUAUCAAAUGAGUUUGAAACAGCAUGGGUGACUUUAGGGACAAUAACUUUCAUUAUGGUAGGCCAACUGAGUGUUGUCUGGAUGGAGCUCCUCUGCUGUCAUCCCCUUGGUGUCUGCAACCAUGAGGCUGGCUGCUGCUUCCACUUUCUAGCAUUAAGUGUCUUUAAAUAAGAGGGUAAGGGGUGUGUGUGGGGAGAAACUGAGCCCUGAUGUAAUUUUUCCACCCAUUUCCCUUCCUGGAGAGGCAGCAGGCGUACUGCAAGCUUUCAGAGUGAGCAAAAGAGCAUGGGUGGGAUUUCUAUGUGUUGAAAUUGGCUUGGGCAGUGGAAGAGAAACUCCACCCUUCUGUUUUCUGUAGUGGAUUUUCUUAGCCUUGUUUCCUCAGGCAAUGAGGCUAAUGAAAUUACAGCGCCUUUCUGUCAGCCUCCCUAAUAAUUUUUGGGUCAAUUAGACCAUUUCUCUAGGAUUUCAUAUGGAAAAGAUGUUCCAAAGGAUUUAGGGUGGGUGGGAUAUUUCAUGAGAUGAGUCUCACUCUGGAGGCACUUCUUUCCAAGAAAAAAUUGGACCUCCAAUCUGAACUGGAGACAUGCUGUAGAUGGCAAUGGCUAGACAAGGUGAAUCUUAUGUUCUAGAAGUUCCGUGAAAAGAAAGGGUUUAUUGUUCUCAUUCAGAUUUUUUUUUUUAAAGUAAAAUAAGAGUAAUCAUUUGAAACUUUACAGGACUGUCAGGUUGAUUGGUUUUCAUCAGUCUCCUGAAUUCAUGUGAAUUCACAAUGAAUUCACCUGUCCUACCACAGAGGAGCUGCAGCAGGCUGUAGCACCCUGGUGCAGUGGCAGAGGUCCCCAUGGAUGGGGUUAACAGACAGAGUUGAAAAGAGGCAAAGGUGCAUAUCAGGGCCCUUUCAUUACAGCAGACCGUGGAUUUAUUUGUGCAAUGUUUUUCUGCUGAAUUACUCCACCACCCAAACUGGAGCCACUCAAAGUAGGAGAAAAUGAGCUCUGUCAACGUAUGAGUUUUGUCAUGAGACUACUUGAUGAUUGCAGACUUCGCUCCUUUGGAGAAUAGCACUUCUUGCUGCUGGUAGGGCCUGGUCCUGGAAAAGGGGACAUCCAGAGUGCUGCAUGCCUGAGACUGUCUUCAGCACGUGGACAGGUUCUGUGAUUGCCCUGUUCACUCAUCUCACAAGGCAGCAGUCUGCACCCCCAUAUUGCUCAGGAAAGGAGAUGAGAACCUGUUGAGGCAGGAGCUGCUGCUUUGCCAGGCCCGUGUGCAACAUUUAACGCAAAAGGUACUGCGAGGAAAUUGAGCAAGCAUGGAUAUAAAAUGUGAAUGGAAAGGAUAAAAGAUGGCCUGCCUUCCUGGAAAAUGAAGUCUUCAUUUCAGUACUUAUGUUUUGUCUUCAUCACAACAGUUUCUCAGAUUUGCUUGUGAACUGAGAAAUCAGAGAUCUGCAGAAAAUAACAGCACCAGCUGGCUCUGCUCAAUGCCAGCAGGAUCAUGACAAAACCAAAGGCUGUUCCUGUCUGGCGCUGGCACCUACUGCGCUGAAGUGAGACAGCAAUUCUUCCUGCAUGACAGAAGGCAGGGUCUGGUCCAGCACCCGAAAAGCCCUUGGUGCUGUAGCGUUUGAGUGUCUCUCAAACACUAAUUAAAGGAAUGAAUCCUCCAGACAUCCCAGCCACUGUGCAGAGCUGUCGGCUAUGGUAGAUGAAUGCUGGUUUGACCCAGGGGAUGCUGACGCUGUUCAUUAAACUACUGACUGCAUCCAAGCUUCAGCCCUUGCUUGGAAAUGAUCCGAACUACUGAGACUCCUGCUCUCCCCCGACGCCUUCUUGGAGUGUGCUCGCAAGUCCUUGAGGAGCUGGAUGCUACCAUUGCUGGAGUUUUCCCGUAAAUGCAGCUUGGACUGGAAACCAUGUGGAAAUUCCCAGAACUAGCAGCAGUGGUUUAGAUAUCCCAGAUACCUUUGUGCUGGAGCAGGGAAGGUGUGCUCCUGUACUUACGUGUGUGUCAGGAGAAUUGGGAAAUGCUCUUCUCCUGGUCUUUAGCACUUCUGGGGUGUCUUUACUGAGGGGCAGUGGGAGGAAGUUGGGAAGUUAUGGAGCUGUGGCCUCCAACCCAGGUAAAUGAGUGAUGUGAUAAUGCUGUGGCCCAAGAGUCAGCUGUGUUAAAGCCCUCAUGUUUGAAAUGGGAUCAGCAGACCAGCAACUUGAAGGAGGAAAUCAUAUGUACACCACGACCUGACCAUUGCCUCCUGAAGACCAAUUGAUAUCCUGCCAUCCUUAAAAACUGGUGCAACUUGUAGGAGGGGAAAACCUGAUAGACAUCCAUAAAAUGGGGGCAAACUGACCUCUGGAGAUGCCCCUCUCUGGUCAUUAAUCCAACCGCUUGGACUCCUUACGAGCUGCAGAGAGAAAAGGAGGUGAUGUGAAUCCCACCCAGAGUUUUGAAAGGUAGCUGCUCUGAUUUAAAGCUCCAAGCAACCAAAAGCCUAGGGUGUCUCGAGGUGCAUAGUUUCAGCAGUUAAUUCCCCACAUUGUCAGAAAACUUCCAUUUCAUUUCAGUGCUGAAUUUGCCUCCUUUUGGCUUCUGACUCUUGGAUUUCAUUAUUCAGUCAUCAGCUGGCUGAUUAAAGAGCUGUCUCCUAUCAAAAAUCUCUCUUCUAUGCAGGUACUUGUGGGCUGUGAUCAAGUCACCUCUUAACCUUCUCCUGGAUAAGCUAUUAGCUUGAGAUACUUAUGGCAGGUUUCCCAGACCUCAAACUGUACUUAUAGCUCUUUCCUGAACCGCUUCCAAUUUUCCUUUUUAUUUUUUUCCUCUCCCCAGUGUCUUUUCUGAAAUGGGGACACCAAAAUGCGACAGUGCCUCUGGUCAGGUCUCACAGCUACCAUGACAUGAGUAAAGGAUGUGCCAUCUUCCUUAUCGUACUGGCUUGUUUAUACUCAACGGCUGAUGCUGGGAAUCGUAUUGUCAGUGACCCCAAGAAUGUCUCGGGAUUUGAGACUCUCUGGGAAUGUACUUGCUGAAUGUGACCUACUUUCCUUGUUCCUGGAAUUUCAGCCCGGUAAGAGGAAAGCCAGCCCCUGGUUGGGGCAGACAGGUCUUGAUGAGACCAAGGUUCAGCUCCCUGUCUGCCAGAGGCUCCUGGAGCAAGUCCAGCUGAGUCCUUUGGGGCCUGAUUGCUGGGGUGCUAGCAUGGGUGUAUAGCAUGUGUGGUUCUGAUUUGGGGCAGCCAUGAGCCUGUUGGAGUCCCUUCCAAACCUAUUAGUAUUAAUCUCACCUAUUCCCUUGCUUUCUGCCUGCAUGGAAAGGGUGACUCGGAAUGGCACAGAUGCAAUGGAGUUGUGGCUAAGAAGGCAGUGGGACUGGUUGCAUUAGCUACAGGAACAGGUAUUAAGUGGCAGGAGACAUUUAUUUGCAUAGUUUAGGUGGAGAUUCCAGAGGAAUAAUGCAAUAUCUCUUUUCACUUUUUUUUUGUCAUCUCUAGACUUCAACAGCAAUUAUUUGGUAUUAUUUUACACUGUAUACAUUAGAUCAAGAGCAGAUUCCCUUUUCAGAUCACAGUGAAAGCAUGUGCAUAUGGCAUAACCUCUUCCUGAUUGCAAUUAUUGUGGAAGAGAUCACUUAACUGGUAAUGUAGUUUGUUUUCAAUCAGAGUGGUGUGCAUGCAACAGUGCUCUCAACAGGCAAGUUUAAUGUUGGUGCAGUUGGCUUUCAGUCUUGUUUGUGGUUCUAUAAAAAAAAGAUAGUGUGUGUAUACAUUACAUAUACAUAAAAUGUUAUCUAAUAGUCCAUAGUUGAUAUAUGUAAUUAAUAUGAUGUACUUCUGCAUGUUUGACAAGACUUGUGGUCCAUAAGUCUGUUAAAUAUUAUGAUUUACACUAUGCAUUACUCUGCUCUUCACUCUUACAUAGGGGCUGUGGAACAGUAGGCAGAAGGGAAAAGGCUAUUGUUUAGCAAUUGCUGUCUAGGGGGUAGUUGAGGGAAAUGUAAAUUAUUAUAAUUACAUAUUUAAAUGUUUUCAAGGUUGCCUAAAACCACAGCUUCAGAAGAAUAGAGCUGGGUAAUAAUUCUAGAGAGAGCUAAAUCCAUCCUGAAAAAUACUGUUUUGGAACAGAGUAGAAUUAUUUCAGGUGGAAGUGAGAGAUGGGAGGGGAAAAAACAAAAAAAGUUAAAAUCCCUUCAUCUUUGCUAUGAGCGAGUGGAUUUCUUAGUACAAAAAGAAAACAAACAAAAAAGCAACCCUUACAACAAAACAACAACAAAAACAACACAAACCCCAACCACACCACCACCAAAAUAUACCAAACAAAAAAGAACUUAGCUGUAGCUAAGUCAAGGAGGCAGCGAAGUUGAGCAGAAAGCUCCUGCUUUUGGGCCAGCUGCCCCGUUGCAUGACACCGGGGCACGUGCCCCGCCUCCCUGCUUCGGUCCAGCCAAGCUGGGUGAAGGGAGAUGGGACCUCGUUUGGAGACACCAGAUGUUGCAUCUGGUCCUUGGUUUCCUGGGGCGGGUUUGGCACCUUGAAGCUACCUUGGCCUGAGAUGGGGCGAAUACUUGAGUGAAUCGGACGUGCUGUGUUUACUUCUGCUCAGCAUGUGCCCAGAAACACAUGGACAAGUUGGAGAGAGUUAAGAGGAUCAGAGAUAACUGAAGAGCUGGCGAGGCUCACUUUAAGAGGAAAGAUGUAAAGUACAACAUCUUGCGCUGGAUCAUCUGGGGCCCGUGAUUAAAUGUUAGCUGGAGAGGAGGUCCCAGCUAAAGCUGGGACUUGAUAAUGGUUUAACAAUAGUGAAGAUGUCAACGCCGUGGAGGGUAAUGUAUUGCUUAGCGUGGUCUAAUGAAGUUAUAACGAUGAAGUAAUAGGAUGAGAUGAAGAAGAUUGUUUAGGCCAUCAGUGAAAGCUGUUUGGCUUGGAAUUGUCCUCUGUGUGUGUGUAAGCCACAUUGACUGCAGCUUUUAAUACUAAAAUGGGCAAUAUAAUUAAAGGCAAGAACCCUCAUUAGCUGAAAGAUGGAUGUGGC
Molecule: long non-coding RNA, 5652 nt
Organism: Cygnus olor (mute swan)
Lineage: Eukaryota; Metazoa; Chordata; Aves; Anseriformes; Anatidae
Exons: 8
Source: RefSeq, a predicted model, not a curated record